AUGGGGCACAGGCACUGCAUACGAGAAAGACAACAACUGUGAAACAUGAACAUGUUAACUGUGUUUGUCCUAAUAGCAAUAUCUGUUGUAGAUUCUAGUGGUCAGACUCUGACUGAAUCUGAGCCUGUAGUUCUUAAACCCGGAGACCCUCACAAACUGACCUGCACGUACUCUGGCUUUAGCAGUGAUCCUUGGAUGGCUUGGAUCAGACAAGGUCCAGGAAAAGCACUGGAGUGGCUGGCUCUAAUUCAUCCCACCACAAGUAGUGAUACAUACUACGCUCAGUCCAUUCAGGGAAGGUUCACAAUUUCAAGAGACAACAGCAAGAAGCAGAGUUACCUACAGAUGAACAGCCUGAAAACCGAAGACUCUGCUGUGUACUACUGUGCUCGAUAGCCACAGUGAGAGUUAAAGCUUAAGUGCAGCACAAGAACACAUGCCAUGUUUAUGGAUCAGGGGACAAAGUGUAACUGCAGUUCAGAUAGGACCAAAA
Non-coding RNA from Clupea harengus (Atlantic herring), 493 nucleotides. Lineage: Eukaryota; Metazoa; Chordata; Actinopteri; Clupeiformes; Clupeidae. The record is from the annotation of a RefSeq genome assembly.